UUCUGUUCGGUUCAUGUGAAA
Molecule: non-coding RNA, 21 nt
Organism: Caenorhabditis elegans
Lineage: Eukaryota; Metazoa; Nematoda; Chromadorea; Rhabditida; Rhabditidae
Source: Ensembl